AAUUCGCCCUUAGAGUUUGAUCAUGGCUCAGAUUGAACGCUGGCGGCAGGCCUAACACAUGCAAGUCGAACGGUAACAGGAAGCAGCUUGCUGCUUUGCUGACGAGUGGCGGACGGGUGAGUAAUGUCUGGGAAACUGCCUGAUGGAGGGGGAUAACUACUGGAAACGGUAGCUAAUACCGCAUAACGUCGCAAGACCAAAGAGGGGGACCUUCGGGCCUCUUGCCAUCGGAUGUGCCCAGAUGGGAUUAGCUAGUAGGUGGGGUAACGGCUCACCUAGGCGACGAUCCCUAGCUGGUCUGAGAGGAUGACCAGCCACACUGGAACUGAGACACGGUCCAGACUCCUACGGGAGGCAGCAGUGGGGAAUAUUGCACAAUGGGCGCAAGCCUGAUGCAGCCAUGCCGCGUGUAUGAAGAAGGCCUUCGGGUUGUAAAGUACUUUCAGCGGGGAGGAAGGCGAUAAGGUUAAUAACCUGUCGAUGACGUACGCGCAGA
This 496-nucleotide ribosomal RNA is filed under the name uncultured bacterium. RNAcentral's name for it is "bacterial SSU rRNA". It matches the Rfam family "Bacterial small subunit ribosomal RNA", at positions 1 to 485 of the family's 1533-position model. The record is from RNAcentral.